Arachis ipaensis is the source of this 170-nucleotide non-coding RNA. NCBI's taxonomy places the organism in Eukaryota, Viridiplantae, Streptophyta, Magnoliopsida, Fabales, Fabaceae. The record is from RefSeq and is a predicted model, not a curated record.
CGGUGUUCUAGGAUUGCAUCUGGCAUUCUCAGGACCUUAUAUAUUAUGUGUAUGGUUUAGGUUUCUUGCAUUUAAUAUGUAAGGUUCUGUGAAAACUUAUGCUAGAUGACUAUAGGAUAAGCUGGAAUGCAGGUGUAUAUUUAAUGUUUAGUAACUUGAUUGAUGAAUAU